This 447-nucleotide ribosomal RNA is filed under the name uncultured bacterium. RNAcentral describes it as "bacterial SSU rRNA". It matches the Rfam family "Bacterial small subunit ribosomal RNA", at positions 329 to 792 of the family's 1533-position model. The record is from RNAcentral.
CCCCAGACUCCUACGGGAGGCAGCAGUGGGGGAUAUUGCACAAUGGGGGGAACCCUGAUGCAGCGACGCCGCGUGGGUGAAGGAGUGCUUCGGCAUGUAAAGCCCUAUCGGCAGGGAAGAAGCAAGACGGUACCUGACUAAGAAGCCCCGGCUAACUACGUGCCAGCAGCCGCGGUAAUACGUAGGGGGCGAGCGUUAUCCGGAUUCACUGGGUGGAAAGGGAGCGUAGACGGCCAUGCAAGCCAGGGGUGAAAGCCCGGGGCCCAACCCCGGGACUGCUCUGGAAACUGCGUCGCUGGAGUACGGGAGGGGCAGGCGGAAUUCCUGGUGUAGCGGUGAAAUGCGUAGAUAUCAGGAGGAACACCGGUGGCGAAGGCGGCCUGCUGGACUGCAACUGACGUUGAGGCCCGAAAGCGUGGGGAGCAAACAGGAUUAGAUACCCCAGUA